This 429-nucleotide ribosomal RNA is filed under the name Gemmatimonadota bacterium. RNAcentral describes it as "Gemmatimonadetes bacterium partial 16S ribosomal RNA". It matches the Rfam family "Bacterial small subunit ribosomal RNA", at positions 355 to 776 of the family's 1533-position model. Lineage: Bacteria; Pseudomonadati; Gemmatimonadota. The record is from RNAcentral.
UAGGGAAUCUUCGGCAAUGGACGAAAGUCUGACCGAGCAACGCCGCGUGAGUGAAGAAGGUUUUCGGAUCGUAAAACUCUGUUGUUAGAGAAGAACAAGGACGUUAGUAACUGAACGUCCCCUGACGGUAUCUAACCAGAAAGCCACGGCUAACUACGUGCCAGCAGCCGCGGUAAUACGUAGGUGGCAAGCGUUGUCCGGAUUUAUUGGGCGUAAAGCGAGCGCAGGCGGUUUCUUAAGUCUGAUGUGAAAGCCCCCGGCUCAACCGGGGAGGGUCAUUGGAAACUGGGAGACUUGAGUGCAGAAGAGGAGAGUGGAAUUCCAUGUGUAGCGGUGAUAUGCGUAGAUAUAUGGGGGAACACCAGUGGCGAAGGCGGCUCUCUGGUCUGUAACUGACGCUGAGGCUCGAAAGCGUGGGGAGCAAACAGG